GCGCACGGGUGAGUAACACGUGACUAACCUACCCUCGAGUGGGGAAUAACUUCGGGAAACCGAGGCUAAUACCGCAUAAUACCCACGGGUCAAAGGAGCAAUCCGCUUGAGGAGGGGGUCGCGGCCGAUUAGUUAGUUGGCAGGGUAACGGCCUACCAAGACGACGAUCGGUAUCCGGCCUGAGAGGGCGCACGGACACACUGGAACUGAAACACGGUCCAGACUCCUACGGGAGGCAGCAGUGGGGAAUUUUGCGCAAUGGGGGAAACCCUGACGCAGCAACGCCGCGUGGAGGAUGAAGUCCUUCGGGACGUAAACUCCUUUCGAUCGGGACGAUAAUGACGGUACCGGAAGAAGAAGCCCCGGCUAACUUCGUGCCGGCAGCCGCGGUAAUACGAGGGGGGCGAGCGUUGUUCGGAAUUAUUGGGCGUAAAGGGUGCGUAGGCGGUUCGGUAAGUCUCGUGUGAAAUCUACAGGCUCAACUUGUAGUCUGCACGAGAAACUGCAGGGCUGGAGUGUGGGAGAGGUGAGUGGAAUUCCUGGUGUAGCGGUGAAAUGCGUAGAUAUCAGGAGGAACACCUGUGGCGAAAGCGGCUCACUGGACCAUAACUGACGCUGAUGCACGAAAGCUAGGGGAGCAAACAGGAUUAGAUACCCUGGUAG
Molecule: ribosomal RNA, 663 nt
Filed under: uncultured bacterium
Lineage: Bacteria
Description: bacterial SSU rRNA
Rfam family: Bacterial small subunit ribosomal RNA
Source: RNAcentral